UCCCUGCUUUUCCUCCCUGAGCAGGAGCCUUAGCGUCAUGACAGCGAUAGGGCUUUCUCACCCCGGCCUUGAGCCGGGGUUUUUUUU
Molecule: non-coding RNA, 87 nt
Filed under: Paucibacter sp. KCTC 42545
Lineage: Bacteria; Pseudomonadati; Pseudomonadota; Betaproteobacteria; Burkholderiales; Sphaerotilaceae
Description: Burkholderia RNA 7 (anti-hemB)
Rfam family: Burkholderia RNA 7 (anti-hemB)
About the family: This RNA motif was identified by computational search in b-proteobacteria Burkholderia. Co-purified with Hfq, expression confirmed by Northern blot.
Source: Rfam by way of RNAcentral